This 884-nucleotide ribosomal RNA is filed under the name Parmelina tiliacea. RNAcentral's name for it is "eukaryotic LSU rRNA". It matches the Rfam family "Eukaryotic large subunit ribosomal RNA", at positions 47 to 942 of the family's 3401-position model. The record is from RNAcentral. Lineage: Eukaryota; Fungi; Ascomycota; Lecanoromycetes; Lecanorales; Parmeliaceae.
UAAGCGGAGGAAAAGAAACCNAACCAGGGAUUUGCCUCAGUAAACGGCGAGUGAAGCGGCAACAGCUCAAAUUUGAAAUCUGGCCCUUUCGGGGUCCGAGUUGUAAUUUGUAGAGAGUGCUUCGGGGGAGGCGGCGGUCUAAGUCCAUUGGAACAUGGCGUCAUAGAGGGUGAGAAUCCCGUAUGCGACCGUGGCUCGAACCCAUGUGAAGCCUCUUCGACGAGUCGAGUUGUUUGGGAAUGCAGCUCAAAAUGGGUGGUAAAUUUCAUCUAAAGCUAAAUACCGGCUGGAGACCGAUAGCGCACAAGUAGAGUGAUCGAAAGAUGAAAAGCACUUUGGAAAGAGAGUCAAACAGUACGUGAAAUUGUUGAAAGGGAAGCGCUUGCAACCAGACCUGCCCGCAGGCGAUCAGCCGCUGUUCUCAGCGGUGCACUCGCCCUGCGAUCAGGCCAGCAUCGGUUUCGGCGGUCGGAUAAAGGCCUUGGGAAUGUAGCUCCCCUUCGGGGGAGCCUUAUAGCCCUCGGUGCAAUGCGGCCAGCCGAGACCGAGGACCGCGCUUCGGCUAGGAUGCUGGCGUAAUGGUUGUAAGCGACCCGUCUUGAAACACGGACCAAGGAGUCUAACAUCUAUGCGAGUGUUUGGGUGUCAAACCCAUGCGCGGAAUGAAAGUGAACGGAGGUGAGAACCCUGAAGGGCGCAUCAUCGACCGAUCCAGAUGUCUUCGGAUGGAUUUGAGUAUGAGCAUAGCUGUUGGGACCCGAAAGAUGGUGAACUAUGCCUGAAUAGGGUGAAGCCAGAGGAAACUCUGGUGGAGGCUCGCAGCGGUUCUGACGUGCAAAUCGAUCGUCAAAUUUGGGUAUAGGGGCGAAAGACUAAUCGAACCU